ACACACACACACACUCACACACACACACACACACGCGCACAGACACACACACACACACACACACACACACACGCACACGGAGGCACUCACACACACACACACACACACACACACACACACACACGCACACAGAGGCACACGCACACACUGGUUUUCUUUAGUCCUUCGUAUAUUUAAAACAAUGACAUCUUAUAGAGGAAAAGUAGAAUAAAACCAUCCAUCUUAAAAUAUCAACAAAUAAAAGUCUUGUUUCUGAUUUAAAAAUGAAACGAGAAUGUUUACUGUUGAUACAUAUUUUGUAUAUUUUAUAUGUGUAGAUUUUUGUGCAUAUAUACACACACGAACACGUACACAAAGAGCCCCCACCCCCACCUCAGGACACAUUUUUAGCAUCUUCUUGAUAAAGUUGUAAGUCUAAUUUCCAUUGAGCCAAAACGUUUCUGCUGUGAUGGUUUAAGGUAUUUGUGCUUAUUGAGCAUUUGGGACGUGUGAGGUUUGAACACAUGCAACAAGAAAGUGAGAACUAAAUCAACUUAAAUCAACAUCAACACUCUGCUUCACAUCCAAACCCCCCAAAUCAAUAUACGUUUGAUUAAUGAUUUCUGUUCUCUACGAAACAUAAGAAAUAUUGUUGAAUCCCCAUCAUGUUAAGCGUUUACGGUCUUAAAGGAUCUAUAUAGUGUUUCAUUUUGAAUGGCGGAACAUACAAAAAACCAUUAAAAACCGUAAAACAAACCACUAAAUAAAUUGCAAUUAGGUGUGACAAUGUAUCAAUCGAAUUACCUUAAAGUGAUUAAUAAAUAGCUAAUUAAUUCACUUUAUUCACAUUGAUGGUAUUUUAUCCCUGGGUGUUCCUGGUAUGGUCCUGGGAGCGAAGCCUCUCGGUUGAUAGCUGACCUGUGAAGGUGUUAUUUCACACACUGUACUGGAUUAAUGCAAAGCAGCAGCAGCCCCGUCUGUGCUGUGCAGCCCUGAGACCAGGGUCCUCAAACAAAGCAUCCAUUCAGCAAGCCAG
Molecule: long non-coding RNA, 1015 nt
Organism: Gasterosteus aculeatus aculeatus (three-spined stickleback)
Lineage: Eukaryota; Metazoa; Chordata; Actinopteri; Perciformes; Gasterosteidae
Source: Ensembl